GGGGAUAUAGCUCAGUUGGUAGAGUGCUUGCCUCACACACACAAGGCUCUGCAUUCAAUCCCCAGCAUCCCCA
Non-coding RNA from Ictidomys tridecemlineatus (thirteen-lined ground squirrel), 73 nucleotides. Lineage: Eukaryota; Metazoa; Chordata; Mammalia; Rodentia; Sciuridae. The record is from Rfam.